AUGAAGAUGGUGCGCUCGAAGCUCGUUGAAGACGAUGGCGACGUGCUGAAGGUGCUCCGCCCACGAGGCGCUGUAGAUAAGAAUGACAUCAAAGAAAACAAGCACAAACUGACGCAAGUAGGGGCGGAGGACGUCGUUCAUGAAGGCCUGGAAGGUCGCCGGGGCGUUGGAGAGGCCAAAAAGCAUCACCAAGAACUCGAAGUGGCCGUGAUGAGUCCGAAACGCCGUUUUUGCGACAUUGUUUGGGUGCAUCCGCACCUGGUGGUAGCCCGAACGGAGGUCGAGCUUGGUGAAGAAGCGCGCCCCAUGUAG
RNAcentral lists this ribosomal RNA (312 nucleotides) under Triticum aestivum (bread wheat). RNAcentral describes it as "partial small subunit ribosomal RNA". The record is from RNAcentral. Lineage: Eukaryota; Viridiplantae; Streptophyta; Magnoliopsida; Poales; Poaceae.